UACGUAGGGGGCAAGCGUUGUUCGGAAUUACUGGGCGUAAAGCGCGCGCAGGCGGUGAUGUAAGACAGGUGUGAAAUCCCCGGGCUUAACCUGGGAACUGCAUUUGUGACUGCAUCGCUGGAGUGCGGCAGAGGGGGAUGGAAUUCCGCGUGUAGCAGUGAAAUGCGUAGAUAUGCGGAGGAACACCGAUGGCGAAGGCAGCCCCCUGGGCUAGCACUGACGCUCAUGCACGAAAGCGUGGGGAGCAAACAGG
RNAcentral lists this ribosomal RNA (253 nucleotides) under uncultured bacterium. RNAcentral's name for it is "partial 16S ribosomal RNA". It matches the Rfam family "Bacterial small subunit ribosomal RNA", at positions 524 to 776 of the family's 1533-position model. The record is from RNAcentral.